AUUGAACGCUGGCGGCAUGCUUUACACAUGCAAGUCGAACGGCAGCGCGGGCUUCGGCCUGGCGGCGAGUGGCGAACGGGUGAGUAAUACAUCGGGACGUGCCCAGUAGUGGGGGAUAGCUCGGCGAAAGCCGGAUUAAUACCGCAUACGACCUGAGGGUGAAAGCGGGGGAUCUUCGGACCUCGCGCUAUUGGAGCGGCCGAUGGCAGAUUAGCUAGUUGGUGGGGUAAAGGCCUACCAAGGCGACGAUCUGUAGCUGGUCUGAGAGGACGACCAGCCACACUGGGACUGAGACACGGCCCAGACUCCUACGGGAGGCAGCAGUGGGGAAUUUUGGACAAUGGGCGAAAGCCUGAUCCAGCAAUGCCGCGUGUGUGAUGAAGGCCUUCGGGUUGUAAAGCACUUUUGGCGGGAACGAAAAGGACUGUGCCAAUACCACGGUUCGAUGACGGUACCCGAAGAAUAAGCACCGGCUAACUACGU
RNAcentral lists this ribosomal RNA (483 nucleotides) under uncultured bacterium. RNAcentral's name for it is "partial 16S ribosomal RNA". It matches the Rfam family "Bacterial small subunit ribosomal RNA", at positions 29 to 506 of the family's 1533-position model. The record is from RNAcentral.